This 354-nucleotide transfer-messenger RNA is filed under the name Moraxellaceae bacterium. It matches the Rfam family "transfer-messenger RNA". Rfam says of the family: Bacterial tmRNA, also known as 10Sa RNA or SsrA, is named for its dual tRNA and mRNA-like properties. Its role is to liberate the mRNA from a stalled ribosome. Lineage: Bacteria; Pseudomonadati; Pseudomonadota; Gammaproteobacteria; Moraxellales; Moraxellaceae. The record is from RNAcentral.
GGGGAUGACAUGGCUUCGACGUUGGUUAUGAAGCUCGUAGGUGCAUGCGGAGAGUGGAUUGUCUCUCCUAAAUCAACGUUCCAAACAAAUAGUCGCAAACGACGAAAACUACGCACUAGCCGCCUAAAUCCGGCUUAUGACCAAGCUUGCAUGCCAGUAUGCGGGGGCGGUCAGCGCAAAAAAUACUGGAUCGCUGUGAUGCUCGCCUCGCGCUGAUCAGCUAAAACCUAGAGGAUCGCUUGUUACACCCUGUCGCUCGGGCCGUAACCGGUUAAAUCAAUUGAGACGACUAAGCAUGUAGAUCCGAGAGUAGAGUGCUGGCGGACGCGGGUUCGAUCCCCGCCAUCUCCACCA